UGGGGAAUCUUAGACAAUGGGCGCAAGCCUGAUCUAGCCAUGCCGCGUGAGCGAUGAAGGCCUUAGGGUUGUAAAGCUCUUUCAGUGGGGAAGAUAAUGACUGUACCCACAGAAGAAGCCCCGGCUAACUCCGUGCCAGCAGCCGCGGUAAUACGGAGGGGGCUAGCGUUGUUCGGAAUUACUGGGCGUAAAGCGCACGUAGGCGGACUGGAAAGUCAGGGGUGAAAUCCCGGGGCUCAACCCCGGAACUGCCUUUGAAACUCCCAGUCUUGAGGUCGAGAGAGGUGAGUGGAAUUCCGAGUGUAGAGGUGAAAUUCGUAGAUAUUCGGAAGAACACCAGUGGCGAAGGCGACUCACUGGACACAUAUUGACGCUGAGGUGCGAAAGCGUGGGGAGCAAA
RNAcentral lists this ribosomal RNA (400 nucleotides) under uncultured bacterium. RNAcentral describes it as "bacterial SSU rRNA". It matches the Rfam family "Bacterial small subunit ribosomal RNA", at positions 355 to 772 of the family's 1533-position model. The record is from RNAcentral.